This 392-nucleotide long non-coding RNA is filed under the name Elaeis guineensis (African oil palm). RNAcentral's name for it is "long non-coding RNA (EGUI_LNC060238)". Lineage: Eukaryota; Viridiplantae; Streptophyta; Magnoliopsida; Arecales; Arecaceae. The record is from RNAcentral.
AAAUUAUUCGUGACCUGCCAUCUAGUCGGAACUCACGACAGAGGGACUGUAUCAUAUAUUAACUACACCUAGAGGUUCUAUUUUGGUUCUGCUAGAUUGCCACUACAUAUUGCUAGAUAUCAUUGGUGGAUUGUGAGAGCUCUAUAGGAUUGUUUUGGAUCAAUGAUCCUUGUCGACUUAGAGUGGAACUAUUCCGACCCACUGAAAGGGGUUUCAAUUAUGCUUAUGAUAGAGAUCAUGGUAUUUCUUACUACCAGACAGAAUUGAACCUAUGGGGUCAUACAUAAAGGGAGAAGACCUAGAUUGAUUAUAAUUAGACUUAUGAAGUACCAAUUUAUGUGGAUUUAGAAAAAUCCUAUCGGGUUCAUGUUAACCUUGCUAGCACCUGGGUG